CAAAGCUUGGACAUUCCAGGUGUGGCCAUCAAUCAAUCGUCCUUUGUGGUCGCGGCACACACAGGCCACAACUCCCUUCGCUGCUCACAUCAAGUAAGCACUAUCUAUAUUUACCUUCAGAGUUUCAAUUUUCAGAGGAAGCCAAGUCUAGGAGGAACCAUUGUAGGCAUGUGUGCUGCUGGUGGUCUGCAGAUCCCAGGAAUAGGAGAUUCUUGAGGUGGCGAGCGCUGAAUCCACCGUAAACACCGGAUCUAGGUUUAGUUUCCUGAAUGUGAAAUUAUUCCACGCCUUCCACAUUUGCCAGAGGACCGAAGCAACUACCUCCAGAUCUGCUAGCCACACUUUAAUUCAUGAUAAACCCUGUAAUGGAAUUUGGAUGCUAAGCUGCAAGUUUGCCCAAACUUCUCGUGUCCAUGGACAUUGCAAAAGGAGAUGCUCCGUCCAUUAUGGGAUGCCAUCGUGGCACAAAUCACAUACCGAGUCAGAGGGAGGCCAGGCGAGCUGCUUCAACUCUUUUGUUGCCUUCCAUUGUGCCACGGGCGAGCAGGUCCACUCCAAGGCAACGUAGGGUUCACCCGCUGGACAUAAGAAUAGGAACAGCUGUAGUAACCACCGAGCCUCUGGAGGAGAAGGCUGGGUUUGAACAAGAUGGAGAGCAGAUGAAAAAAACAUGGGUAUGACAGGGGAAAAAAAGAAGUAAUGUAAUGGUAAUUUUAGGGUUUUAGAUUAAAGAAAAGGGCAAGGAAAAAGCCAAAAGUUGAGAUAUUCAAU
Long non-coding RNA from Syzygium oleosum, 771 nucleotides. RefSeq lists it as uncharacterized. NCBI's taxonomy places the organism in Eukaryota, Viridiplantae, Streptophyta, Magnoliopsida, Myrtales, Myrtaceae. The record is from RefSeq and is a predicted model, not a curated record. The transcript is spliced from 2 exons.